Molecule: ribosomal RNA, 253 nt
Filed under: uncultured bacterium
Lineage: Bacteria
Description: partial 16S ribosomal RNA
Rfam family: Bacterial small subunit ribosomal RNA
Source: RNAcentral
UACAGAGGUCUCAAGCGUUGUUCGGAUUCAUUGGGCGUAAAGGGUGCGUAGGUGGCGGGGUAAGUCAGGUGUGAAAUUUCGGAGCUUAACUCCGAAACUGCAUUUGAUACUGCCUUGCUUGAGGACUGGAGAGGAGACUGGAAUUCACGGUGUAGCAGUGAAAUGCGUAGAGAUGUGGAGGAACACCGAUGGCGAAGGCAGCCUUCUGGGCCAACACUGACGCUCAUGCACGAAAGCGUGGGGAGCAAACAGG